AUGACUAGGGAUAACCUUAGGAAGAGACACAUCAUCAAACCCCUUGAUUGUGUUUACUGCUUGGAACAAGAGUCUUGUUCUCACCUAUUUUUUGAAUGUAUAGUUGCUAAACAUCUCUGGGCACACAUUGAGGAAUAUUUCUCUAGUCGGAUUGGCUCAUCCUUUGAAUCUGUCGUCGGAUUCUGGAUUGCUACCAAAAAGUGCUCAGUUUUAAACACUGUUAGCUCAGCUGUCCUUUGGUGCCUCUGGAAAUAUAGAAAUGCUAUGAUUUUCAGUAACACCUCCUGGAUUUCCAUUCCGCGGGUAUUGAGGUUGAUCAGGAACAUGGUGAGGAACUGGGCGAUUCUCUCCUCCGGAUCGGACAAGGACAAGUUGAUGAGCUUCGUGGAAACCCUAACAAGAUCCCUCCAGAAACCAUUGGCGAUCACUUGUGGCUGA
RNAcentral lists this ribosomal RNA (438 nucleotides) under Triticum aestivum (bread wheat). RNAcentral describes it as "partial small subunit ribosomal RNA". The record is from RNAcentral. Lineage: Eukaryota; Viridiplantae; Streptophyta; Magnoliopsida; Poales; Poaceae.